CCCGCUGAACUUAAGCAUAUCAAUAAGCGGAGGAAAAGAAACCAACAGGGAUUGCCUCAGUAACUGCGAGUGAAGCGGCAAUAGCUCAAAUUUGAAAUCUGGCCUCUAGCCCGAAUUGUAAUUUGUAGAGGAUGCUUCGAGGAUGGUCCAAUCUAAGUUCCUUGGAACAGGACGUCAUAGAGGGUGAGAAUCCCGUAUGCGACUGGGUGCCUAAGCUCAUGUGAAGCUCCUGCGACGAGUCGAGUUGUUUGGGAAUGCAGCUCAAAAUGGGUGGUAAAUUUCAUCUAAAGCUAAUUACGGACCAGAUGACCGAUAGUGCACAAGUAGAGUGAUCGAAAGAUGAAAAGCGCCUUGGAAAGAGAGUUAAACGAUACGUGAAAUUGUUGAAAGUGAAGCGCUAGCAACUAGACUUGCAUGCAGCCCAUCAUCCGAUGUUCUCACCGGUGCACUCGAUUGCAUUCAGACCAGCAUCGGUUUCGGUGGUUAGAUAAAGUCCUUGGGAAUGUAGCUUCUCUCGGGGAGUGUUAUAGCCCAAGGUGCAAUGUAGCCUCCCGGGACCGAGGCCCGCGCUUCGCUUAGGAUGCUGGCGUAAUGGUUGUAAGCGACCCGUCUUGAAACACGG
This 622-nucleotide ribosomal RNA is filed under the name uncultured fungus. RNAcentral describes it as "eukaryotic LSU rRNA". It matches the Rfam family "Eukaryotic large subunit ribosomal RNA", at positions 24 to 664 of the family's 3401-position model. The record is from RNAcentral. Lineage: Eukaryota; Fungi.